RNAcentral lists this long non-coding RNA (4822 nucleotides) under Marmota monax (woodchuck). The stretch from base 2306 to 2495 matches the Rfam family "7SK RNA". Lineage: Eukaryota; Metazoa; Chordata; Mammalia; Rodentia; Sciuridae. The record is from RNAcentral.
CUAGAGCAAAUUGAUGUAUAGUAUAAUAUAAAAAUCAUAUCUAUCCCAUUAUAUUGAUAAGUAUACAAAAUAAGGUUAACAUAGUAAUCAUUAUUCAUAAGUUAUUAUAUAUUGUGUAUGUACAAAGGAAGUGAUUUGGUUGAUUCAUGUUUAUAGUUAACUACAUAAACAUAAUACCCAGUCAAUCUAAUUAACCACCAGACCAGUACUUUCUUCUUUGACAUUAGCCUCAGACAUAUUUGGUGGUAAUUGUUGAUCAUAAUCCAAAAAAUUCUUUUUGAAGGUUAAAAACUUUAUGAGUAGUUUUUAUAAAACUAUAGAAAAAAAAUUUAAAUCCAGAAAAAUGUGAAGAAGGUAACCUUUAUAGUGGCCCCCUAUUUAGAUGUAAAUUAUUAUUUGUUUAAAAAGGUUUCACAAAUCUUUGCCUCUGAUUAUUUAUUGAAUAUAGAUUCUAAGAGGCUAAAGGGUAUGAACUCUUAAAAGAUGAUUCUUAAAUAUUUUCCUUUUCUUAGAAGGUUCAUAACCAAAUUGUACUUCUAAAAAAUGCUUCUUCAUGUUCCCAUUAUUUUAGCCCUUUGUCACAUAUAUUGCAAAGUGUCUUUUCUUUGUGAGUCGUCUUUUAGCAGUAGCCUGUGAGUUGGUCUCUCUUCCUACAGGUCUUAAUCCAUUCUGCACACUUAUUGAGAAGAUGAUGUGACUGUAAAUACCACUUUUAUAUCCUUAAAUGUCUUUCUAUAACAAGGUAUCAGGUCUUAAACCAGUUUAGUGUAAAUAGGAAUCACCUUGGAGGGGUGUGUUUCAAAUGCAGAUUUGAUUCAAUAAGUAUGACCCUGAAGCCCAGGAAUCUCAUUUUUAGUAAGAACUCCUUAUUCUAAGUUGUUAUUUAAUAGACAAACUAUUUGAGAUACACUCCUUAGCCUGAGCUUUUAAUGAUAUAUUUUCAGCCAGAGAAUUGCUAUAUUUCUCAGGGUGAACAUUGCUCUUGCUAUUAUUACCUGAGUAAUACAUAGAUAAAUCCAUCUCUAAGCCAUUGUGGCUAAAAGUACUUUAAAUGUAAAGUGAUAAUACGCCAUUUUUCUCCCUUGGAAUUUCUUCUACUUUCCCCUUUGUCCAUAUCCUGGCUUCCCUUUACGGUGAAACUCUGUUCCCAUCUUUUUCAUGAAUUCUUCCCUGACUAUUUUAAGCAGAUUUGAGUUUUUUCCUUUCUCUGACUCUUAAGCACUCACAUCCAACCUUUCAGUAUUUCCUUCAUUGUUGGGUUUUGUUUUAUUUUUAUGUGAUGGUCUCAAAUUGUUCAUUAUUUGUUGGCAGGGACUUUGCCUUAUAUAAUUUUUUUUUUUUUAUUUCCCACAGGACCUAUGUGGAAAUAAAAAUGAAUGCCCCUAUCCUCAUUAGUUUUGACUAUUUUGAAAGGCUACAGUGAAAUAUUCACUGGGCAUUCAGUGAAUAUUUAUAAAAAUUUAAUCAGUCUGUUCAUUUUGUUUACCGUGUCCAUAGCCUGUAUGAUUCUAUAGUUUUUGUUUAUAUAAUCUCUCAGCCUUGGUCACUGGUCAUUAUAGAUUGAAAAGGUUCCAGUCUUUUUAGUUUUUCCUCAUGGUAUUGCAUCAUGCCGUUUUGUUUUUCUAUAUAUUGCUUUUGGAUUAUCAGCAGCUCUGAUUUUAUGUAGUAUUCCAACUAAUGAUUGUUUGUGUUUUUUCUGAAAGCAAGAUUUUGGGAUUUUUGUGGGAAGGAUGCCUUACAGAACUAGACAGGAUAUGCUUAAUGAGUGUGUACUUCCUAGCUUGUGGUGGAGAGUUCUCCCUGACACUUUCAAAACAGCUAACCUAGACCCCCACAAUCUUUCCCUAAAAUCCUGAGUUGUUUCUCCAGUGGCUAGAACUUAGACUGACUCUAGGGAAUAAGAAUGGGUCCUGCAUCUUCCGCCUGAAAUGGGUAGUGCUAGAUGCCAGCCUUGUUUUGGGGUAGUGGUUUUAAGGGUGUUUCUCUCCUGCUGGGAGCCAUUAGCCAAGUAGGUAUGACAAUUUCCUUGCCAGCGUACCCCAUGUUGCUUAGUGGAAGGACUCGUGGAAAUAGGACAUUUUGCAGUGACAUUGCAUGUAGGUGACCUUGCUCAAGGACCAAGGCGGAUCCAGUUUAGGGCAUUCCCGGUUUAGGACUAUCCGGGUUUAGGGUGGUUCCAGGUUUAAGAUUAUUCCUGCUGGGAAUAGGGCGUAUCCUGCUGCCUGAGUUCCCCUUGCUCUCCUUUAUUUCUGCCUAAACCAGAACUCUGGGGAAAAAAUGACAGCAUAUUCUGGGGAACCUAAAGGGGUUGGUGAGGGCAUUUUAGGCAACAUCUGUCACUCCAUUGCUUGUCAGGAUUAUUUUAGCUAAUUUGUCUGACUGGGCAGGUGUCCCCUCUCUCCCUCAGUGCUCCAUGUGCAUCCCUCUUGAAGCUUCGCACUCUGUUGAAGAGGACACUCAUCCCAGGUAGAGAGGGGGACGGGAAACUGGGCCAAUUGAAUCUCUAUGUCCUUUUCUUUCCAUCAGAUCAAGGCUACUUAACUGGGAUCCAUUGACUUCCUGAGGUCCAUGACCUCUAUGAAACUAUUUGCCAAGUUUUGUUCAUGCAUUGUGUGUUUCUUAGGGAAGAGGGGUCCACAACUUUCAUCAUAUUCUCAAAGAGAUCUGUAGAUGCAAGUACUGUGGCACUAGAUAAUGAUGUUUUCUGUCAUGUGUUUCUUGUGUGUUUCUCAAGCAGGAAUGAUGGGAAAUUAGAAAUGCAAAGGGAAGUAGGGUGGAGGGACUUAUGUAAUCCUAGGCAAGCAAUCACAGGAUCCCUUUCUCAUUUGUGGAACAUAUCUUGCAGAUGUCUUCAGCAGAGUAGGCAGUACUGAAAGUUGUCUGUUUCUCAAGCAGGAAUAACAAGGCUAGAAAUGCAAAGACAAGACAGAAUAAGUGAUGUAAAAUAAGUAGUUUGAAAAUGUCUCAGUUUUUGUCACUAAUGUGCAUAUUAUUUAGGGAGUUUUAAUUUAGUCAUCAUUAAAAUGAGAAGGCUAGAAUACAUUCAGGGCUCCUUGUAUCGCUAAGACACCUUUCAUGGAAGAAUUUUCUGCUAGGAUGAAAGCGCUUAUCGAAUCCACUGCAGUAAAUCCUCAGUCCGAAGCAGGAGAAGCAGUCCUAAAAGGAAGCGUAAUAGACACUGUUCAAGUCAUCAGUUACGUUUGGUAUGAUUGAUUUUGUUUUUAUUUUGAGUGGAUUCUUAAUUGUGUGUAAAAGCUCUUAAGGAGCUGAUAAGUUUCUAAAAGUUUCUUUAUAUAUGUAAUGCUAUUUGGAUAUAAUUAUUAUAUUACUUGAAUCCUUAAAGGAAACGUCCACAUUCUCAUAGCUGAUCUGUAUAUUUAUUAGCUAGCCCUCACUUGCCCACAUUUACUCAUUCUACAGACCAGAUCAUGAGUUUGUUGAUUUUAAUUAUAGAAAUUAUUUCAUUUUUGUGUUUGUAUAAUAUAAUCUUAUGAAAAAUAAUGCACCCAUUUGUUCUUUCAAUUGAAAUAUUAUUUUACUUUGAAAGAAACCUCUUUCCUAAUACUUAAAAACAAAAUGGAAAGUUGCACUGAUACUUAAAUGUUGUUAACCUGUAUAUAGCAUAAUCCUUAAUACAGUGCAUCAUUGUGUAAUUACAUCUAUUGAAAUUGUGAGUAUGGGUGCUGAAUGGGAAACAUAUUUUUAAAAAGCCAGAUUUUUUUUUUAAAUGGACAUCUUCAUUGUUUUAAUCUGUAAACUGAAUUGCAGUUUUUCUCCCCAACCUUUGUUUGAUAGAAUUAGCUGUUAUUGGAUUGAACAUUGAAAUUAACUAGCCUUUGUUUUCCCCUUUGAUUUUAAUCAUGUAUAUUUCAGAAUAUUGCUAAAUAAGACAGUUACAACAAUCUUGACAUUUUAAAACAUUUUUCUGACAAACUAGACAUCUCAACUCACAGCAUAUGCUAGUUAUAGCAAGAGAUUAGUAAAUCAUGACAUUGCAUUCUUUAAAUUUCAGACUUCAAUUAAAUCAGUAUUUUAAAGAGACAAUUGUGUUGUUUUUCUAUUGCCACUUUAAGUAUCUUAUCUGAAAAUCUGUUCCUUGCCAUGUUUUUCUUCUGUAACAUAAACUGUGCCCUGUGAAUUUCUGGGGACUGAAUUUGAAAUUGCUCCUGCCAACUGUUCGUGGCCUGGUGCUUAUCUGAAUGCCUGAAUAUCUCCCCGCUGAAUGAAUUGCGUAUUCUGCCCUGAAUUCACUCUGAUAUAUUGAUUGGCUGGGCGAUCUUGGUGCUGCCCACUUGCCGUUCCAGAAGAGCCACCGAAGGAAAAGAUCCAGGAGUAUAGAGGAUGAUGAGGAGGGUCACCUGAUCUGUCAAAGUGGAGACAUUCUAAGAGCAAGAUGUAUAGAAUAUUUUUCAACACUUUUUAAACUUUGCAGACAGAAUAAUCUUUUUAAGAAUAGUUUGUCAGCGGGGGGCUAAAGAACUCUUCAUUGCUUUUUUGUUUUGUUUUUUGUGGGUUGGUUUGUUCUUUUGUAUUUCUUCUUUUCUGUAGAAUUUAAAUAUUUCUACUCUAAAGUUCCAAAAUAAUCAGUGGAAUUUGAGAUUAGAGCAAGAAAGAUAGCUCUAUCUAAUUGUUUUUGUAGCAGAUGAAAAUAAAAUAAUUUGAGUGCUGAAACAUUAGUUAUGCUUGUUAGAGAUCAUUUGAAAAUAUUCCACACUUAAGCAUUCAUUGUUUGAAUAACUAGUUAAUUUAUACUUAGUUACUUAUACCUCUUCUUCUCUCCCUCACUUUAGAUGAAAUCGUGGACACUUUGGGUGAAGGGGCC